RNAcentral lists this transfer RNA (73 nucleotides) under Oscarella viridis. RNAcentral's name for it is "tRNA-Thr". It matches the Rfam family "tRNA". Rfam says of the family: Transfer RNA (tRNA) molecules are approximately 80 nucleotides in length. Their secondary structure includes four short double-helical elements and three loops (D, anti-codon, and T loops). Further hydrogen bonds mediate the characteristic L-shaped molecular structure. tRNAs have two regions of fundamental functional importance: the anti-codon, which is responsible for specific mRNA codon recognition, and the 3' end, to which the tRNAs corresponding amino acid is attached (by aminoacyl-tRNA synthetases). tRNAs cope with the degeneracy of the genetic code in two manners: having more than one tRNA (with a specific anti-codon) for a particular amino acid; and 'wobble' base-pairing, i.e. permitting non-standard base-pairing at the 3rd anti-codon position. Lineage: Eukaryota; Metazoa; Porifera; Homoscleromorpha; Homosclerophorida; Oscarellidae. The record is from RNAcentral. RNAcentral also lists the same sequence under 1 other name.
GCCUUUAUAGCUCAAUUGGUAGAGCAUUUACCUUGUAAGUAAAAUCGUGUGGGUUCAAUUCCUACUAAAGGCU